UGGGGAAUUUUGGACAAUGGGCGAAAGCCUGAUCCAGCAAUGCCGCGUGCAGGAUGAAGGCCUUCGGGUUGUAAACUGCUUUUGUACGGAACGAAAAAGCUCCUUCUAAUACAGGGGCCAUGACGGUACCGUAAGAAUAAGCACCGGCUAACUACGUGCCAGCAGCCGCGGUAAUACGUAGGGUGCGAGCGUUAAUCGGAAUUACUGGGCGUAAAGCGUGCGCAGGCGGUUAUGUAAGACAGAUGUGAAAUCCCGGCUCAAGCCU
Molecule: ribosomal RNA, 265 nt
Filed under: uncultured Delftia sp.
Lineage: Bacteria; Pseudomonadati; Pseudomonadota; Betaproteobacteria; Burkholderiales; Comamonadaceae
Description: partial 16S ribosomal RNA
Rfam family: Bacterial small subunit ribosomal RNA
Source: RNAcentral